RNAcentral lists this ribosomal RNA (363 nucleotides) under uncultured bacterium. RNAcentral describes it as "bacterial SSU rRNA". It matches the Rfam family "Bacterial small subunit ribosomal RNA", at positions 29 to 402 of the family's 1533-position model. The record is from RNAcentral.
AACGAACGCUGGCGGCAGGCCUAACACAUGCAAGUCGAGCGGCCGUAGCAAUACGGCAGCGGCGCACGGGUGAGUAACGCGUGGGAACCUGCCCUUUGGUUCGGAACAACCCUGGGAAACUAGGGCUGAUACCGGAUGAGCCCCUUAUUCUCGCAAGAGGUGAGGGGAAAGAUUUAUCGCCGAAGGAGGGGCCCGCGUCCGAUUAGCUAGUUGGUGGGGUAAUGGCCUACCAAGGCUUCGAUCGGAGCCGGUCUGAGAGGACGAUCGGCCACACUGGGACUGAGACACGGCCCAGACUCCUACGGGAGGCAGCAGUGGGGAAUAUUGGACAAUGGGCGCAAGCCUGAUCCAGCCAUGCCGCGU